AGCUUUGCGCAGUGGCAGUAUCGUAGCCAAUGAGGUUUAUCCGAGGCGCGAUUAUUGCUAAUUGAAAAAAAGGAGUUCAGAGCUAAACAAAGAAUUCACAGCUGAGGAAUGCAGAAUGGCUGAGAAACACCUAAAGAAAUGUUCAACAUCUUUAGUCAUAAGG
Rattus norvegicus (Norway rat) is the source of this 163-nucleotide small nuclear RNA. Ensembl annotates it as U4 spliceosomal RNA. The record is from Ensembl. NCBI's taxonomy places the organism in Eukaryota, Metazoa, Chordata, Mammalia, Rodentia, Muridae.